This is a non-coding RNA of Triticum aestivum (bread wheat), 115 nucleotides long. The record is from Rfam. NCBI's taxonomy places the organism in Eukaryota, Viridiplantae, Streptophyta, Magnoliopsida, Poales, Poaceae.
UUCUUACUCCUUCCGUUCCGAAUUAUUUGUCGCGGGUAUGAAUGUAUCUAGAUGUAUUUUAAUUAUAGAUACAUCUAUUUCUGCGACACGUAAUUUGGAAUGGGGGAAGUACAUG